Molecule: ribosomal RNA, 1396 nt
Filed under: Dryinus sp. ZJUH_2016011
Lineage: Eukaryota; Metazoa; Arthropoda; Insecta; Hymenoptera; Dryinidae
Description: 16S ribosomal RNA
Source: RNAcentral
GUUAAAUUGAUAAUAAAAUUGAUAAUUAUUUUUAGUUAUAUAAUUUGUAUAAAAUUAAUAAAUAUAAAAAAUUUAUAGAGUUUUAUAAAUGUAAAUGUUUAUUUUUUAUUAUAUUUUAAGAUAUUUUAAUUAAUUGUACCUUUUGUAUCAUGGAUAAUUAAUUUUGUUUUAUGAAUUUUAACUUAUUCUUGAAAUUAAAUGAUCUAAUUAAUUUUUUUAUUUAUUGUUGAAAUAAUAUUAAUAAAAUUUAUUUUAGAAGUGAUAUGUUAGUCGUAUUUUUAUAUAUCUAGUUUUUUAAUAAUUAAAUUUAAUUUAGAUAAUUUUUAUUUUUAUUAAAAAUUAAUAUUUUUAAUAAAAUUAAUUAAAAUUAUUAAAAUUUUUUAGGAUAAACUAAUAAAUUAUAUCUAAAAUUUUAUAUUUAUAAAAUUAAAUAAUAUAUAGGGUUUAAAUUUUCUUUUAUUUUUAAAAAUUUUAUUAUUUAUUUUUAAUUUGUUUUUUUUAAAAAUUUAAAAAAAUUGAAAUUUAGUUUUAUUUAUUAAAAUAAUAAAUUUUAUAAAAUUUUAAAAUUUAUUUAAUAAUGAUUAUAUUAGUAUAAUUUUAUUAUUUUAUGAAGUAAAAUUUUUACUAUUUAAAUUUUUAACAAAAAAAAUUUGGCAAAUUUUAAUUUUCACCUGUUUAACAAAAACAUGGUUUUUUGUAUUUAUUUAAGAUUAAUUCUGCUCAAUGAAUUUAUUAAUUUUAAAUAGCUGCAGUAUAUUAACUGUGCAAAGGUAGCAUAAUAAAUUGCUUUUUAAAUGGGGGAUUGAAUGAAUGAAUUUAUGAAAAAUUUACUUUUUUUUAUUAAUUAUUAAAAUUUAAAUUUUAAGUAAAAAUUCUUAAAUUUUAAUAAAAGACGAAAAGACCCUAUAGAAUUUUAUAUUUUUAUAUUUUAUAUUAAUUAUAGUUUUUAAAUAAUUAAUUAAAAUGAUAAAAAUGUUUAAUUGGGAGGAUUUUUAUAGAUUUUUUUACUAUAUAAAAUAUAAAAUUUAUUAUUUAUCAUAAAUUAGUGAUUUAUUAUUUUUUAUAAAAAAAUUUAUUUUUUAAAAAUUAGUAAAAAUUACCUUAGGGAUAACAGCGUAAUAAUUUUGUAGAGUUCAUAUUAAUAAAAUUGUUUGCGACCUCGAUGUUGAAUUAAGAUUAAAAUAUAUUGAAAAUGAUAUAAUUUUAGGUCUGUUCGACCUUUAAAAUCUUACAUGAUUUGAGUUCAGAUCGGUGUGAGCCAGAUCGGUUUUUAUCUUUAUUAAUAUAAUUUAUUAUUUAGUACGAAAGGGUUAAUAAUAAUUAAUUUUUUAUUUUAAAAAAAUGUUGAAAAUUUUAAUUUUUAAAAUUUGUUUAAAUUAAAUGAAAUUUAUUUAUU